GAGGUCAUGUGGUCAGUGGCCCCUGAGUCUAUAAUCCAAAUGCAUCAUCUAAUUUAGUUGACAUGCAAGCACCAUAAGAUACAUCUUUCAGACAACUAGGUGGAGAGAAAGUACCAGCAAAGUUGGCAGAUGCCAUGAGGCUGGACUAGGGUUGUGAUUUUGAAAUAUGUAUCUAUUGAAGCAACAUCGUAAGUUGUGAAUAUUGAUCCUUGGUUAACCCAGGGAUCAAGGACUCUGACUCAGAAGAACCUUCGGUUGGAGAGUGAGAAUUCCCAAUAGUAUUCUGAAAAUCAAUAGAAUUUGAAUAAACAUGCGCCUCAACAUUGCAGCAAUCCUUUUACCCUUAGUAAAUUUGAAGCCUGGUGGGAACCUAUGGAGCUUAUAACAUUUGUCAACCAAAUGUCCAGGAUACUUGCGAUACCUACACAUCAUAUUUGACUUGUUGUGAUAAAAAAUGACUCUUUGAGUUAACUGUUUAGAAGGAGCAGAUGUCCCUAAAA
This 500-nucleotide long non-coding RNA is filed under the name Nicotiana benthamiana. Its description in RNAcentral is "long non-coding RNA (NBEN_LNC006461)". The record is from RNAcentral. Lineage: Eukaryota; Viridiplantae; Streptophyta; Magnoliopsida; Solanales; Solanaceae.